This 542-nucleotide ribosomal RNA is filed under the name fungal sp. Its description in RNAcentral is "eukaryotic LSU rRNA". The stretch from base 166 to 319 matches the Rfam family "5.8S ribosomal RNA". Lineage: Eukaryota; Fungi. The record is from RNAcentral.
AUUUAACAGUUCGUGGGAUAGACGCUCGUAAGGCUACCCUUCCCACGCUGUUUCAACCCUUUGUCUUUUGCGUACUGUAUGUUUCCUCGGCGGGUUCGCCCGCCGAUAGGACACUUCAAAACCUUUUGUAAUUGCAAUCAGCGUCAGAAAAACUAUAAUAGUUACAACUUUCAACAACGGAUCUCUUGGUUCUGGCAUCGAUGAAGAACGCAGCGAAAUGCGAAAAGUAGUGUGAAUUGCAGAAUUCAGUGAAUCAUCGAAUCUUUGAACGCACAUUGCGCCCCUUGGUAUUCCAUGGGGCAUGCCUGUUCGAGCGUCAUUUGUACCCUCAAGCUCUGCUUGGUGUUGGGUGUUUGUCCCGCCUCGCGCGUGGACUCGCCUUAAAGUCAUUGGCAGCCGGAAUAAUUCUGGGGAACGCAGCACAACUGCAGCCUCCAUUUUACGCCGAGCGUCCAGUAAGCCUUUUUUUCAACGUUUGACCUCGGAUCAGGUAGGGAUACCCGCUGAACUUAAGCAUAUCAAUAAGCGGAGGAAAAGAAACC